Molecule: ribosomal RNA, 408 nt
Filed under: Fusobacteriota bacterium
Lineage: Bacteria; Fusobacteriati; Fusobacteriota
Description: Fusobacteria bacterium partial 16S ribosomal RNA
Rfam family: Bacterial small subunit ribosomal RNA
Source: RNAcentral
UGGGGAAUAUUGCACAAUGGACGGAAGUCUGAUGCAGCAACGCCGCGUGCGGGAUGACGGCCUUCGGGUUGUAAACCGCUUUUUCUCAUGACGAAGUUUUUUGACGGUAGUGGGGGAAGAAGAACCGGCUAACUACGUGCCAGCAGCCGCGGUGAUACGUAGGGUGCGAGCGUUGUCCGGAAUUAUUGGGCGUAAAGAGCUUGGAGGCGGUUUGUCGCGUCGAUAGUGCAAACUCAGUGCUUAACGCUGAGCCUGCUGUUGAUACGGGCAGACUAGAGGAAGGUAGGGGAGAAUGGAAUUCCCGGUGGGGCGGUGGAAUGCGCAGAUAUCGGGGGGAACACCGGUGGCGAAGGCGGUUCUCUGGGCCUUUCCUGACGCUGAGAAGCGAAAGCGUGGGGAGCGAACAGG